AUUGAACGCUGGCGGCAUGCUUUACACAUGCAAGUCGAACGGUAACAGGUUAAGCUGACGAGUGGCGAACGGGUGAGUAAUGCAUCGGAACGUGCCCGGUCGUGGGGGAUAACGCAGCGAAAGCUGCGCUAAUACCGCACACGAUCUGAGGAUGAAAGCGGGGGACCGUAAGGCCUCGCGCGAUCGGAGCGGCCGAUGUCAGGUUAGGUAGUUGGUGGGGUAAAGGCUCACCAAGCCAACGAUCUGUAGCUGGUCUGAGAGGACGACCAGCCACACUGGGACUGAGACACGGCCCAGACUCCUACUGGAGGCAGCAGUGGGGAAUUUUGGACAAUGGGCGAAAGCCUGAUCCAGCAAUGCCGCGUGCAGGAAGAAGGCCUUCGGGUUGUAAACUGCUUUUGUACGGAGCGAAAAGGCCUCCUCUAAUACAGGGGGCUCAUGACGGUACCGUAAGAAUAAGCACCGGCUAACUACGUGCCAGCCGCCGCGGUAA
Molecule: ribosomal RNA, 493 nt
Filed under: uncultured bacterium
Lineage: Bacteria
Description: partial 16S ribosomal RNA
Rfam family: Bacterial small subunit ribosomal RNA
Source: RNAcentral